RNAcentral lists this ribosomal RNA (236 nucleotides) under uncultured bacterium. RNAcentral describes it as "partial 16S ribosomal RNA". It matches the Rfam family "Bacterial small subunit ribosomal RNA", at positions 118 to 349 of the family's 1533-position model. The record is from RNAcentral.
UGGGCAACCUGCCCUCAGCUCUGGGAUAACCCCGGGAAACCGGGGCUAAUACCGGAUACGACCUCCGUGGGCAUCUGCGGAGGUGGAAAGGUUUUCCGGCUGAGGAUGGGCCCGCGGCCUAUCAGCUAGUUGGUGGGGUGAUGGCCCACCAAGGCGACGACGGGUAGCCGGCCUGAGAGGGCGACCGGCCACACUGGGACUGAGACACGGCCCAGACUCCUACGGGAGGCGAGCGA